GAUGAACGCUGGCGGCGUGCUUAACACAUGCAAGUCGAACGAGAAAUGAUAUUACGAUCUCUUCGGAGUGACGGUUUUAUUUCGAGUGGCGGACGGGUGAGUAACGCGUGAGCAACCUGCCCUAUACCGGGGGAUACCAGUUGGAAACGACUGUUAAUACCGCAUAAGCGCACGAUAAGACAUCUUGUUGUGUGAAAAACUCCGGUGGUAUAGGAUGGGCUCGCGUAUGAUUAGCCAGUUGGCGGGGUAAAGGCCCACCAAAGCGACGAUCAUUAGCCGACCUGAGAGGGUGACCGGCCACAUUGGGACUGAGACACGGCCCAAACUCCUACGGGAGGCAGCAGUGGGGAAUAUUGCACAAUGGGCGAAAGCCUGAUGCAGCGACGCCGCGUGAGUGAGGAAGUAUUUCGGUAUGUAAAGCUCUAUCAGCAGGGAAGAAAGAAAUGACGGUACCUGAGUAAGAAGCUCCGGCUAAAUACGUGCCAGCAGCCGCGGUAAUACGUAUGGAGCAAGCGUUAUCCGGAUUUACUGGGUGUAAAGGGAGCGUAGGCGGCAGAGCAAGUCUGAUGUGAAAGCCCGGGGCUCAACCCCGGUAGUGCAUUGGAAACUGUUCAGCUCGAGUGUCGGAGGGGUAAGCGGAAUUCCUGGUGUAGCGGUGAAAUGCGUAGAUAUCAGGAAGAACACCGGAGGCGAAGGCGGCUUACUGGACGAUUACUGACGCUGAGGCUCGAAAGCGUGGGGAGCGAACAGG
RNAcentral lists this ribosomal RNA (751 nucleotides) under uncultured Shuttleworthella sp. Its description in RNAcentral is "bacterial SSU rRNA". It matches the Rfam family "Bacterial small subunit ribosomal RNA", at positions 28 to 776 of the family's 1533-position model. The record is from RNAcentral. Lineage: Bacteria; Bacillati; Bacillota; Clostridia; Lachnospirales; Lachnospiraceae.